RNAcentral lists this ribosomal RNA (331 nucleotides) under uncultured Bacillota bacterium. RNAcentral describes it as "bacterial SSU rRNA". It matches the Rfam family "Bacterial small subunit ribosomal RNA", at positions 28 to 351 of the family's 1533-position model. Lineage: Bacteria; Bacillati; Bacillota. The record is from RNAcentral.
GACGAACGCUGGCGGCGUGCCUAAUACAUGCAAGUCGAGCGGAUGAAGAGGAGCUUGCUCCUUGGAUUCAGCGGCGGACGGGUGAGUAACACGUGGGCAACCUGCCUGUAAGACUGGGAUAACUCCGGGAAACCGGGGCUAAUACCGGAUAAUUUCUUUUCUCGCAUGAGGAAAGGUUGAAAGACGGUUAUGCUGUCACUUACAGAUGGGCCCGCGGCGCAUUAGCUAGUUGGUGGGUAAAGGCCUACCAAGGCAACGAUGCGUAGCCGACCUGAGAGGGUGAUCGGCCACACUGGGACUGAGACACGGCCCAGACUCCUACGGGAGGCAG